This is a long non-coding RNA of Papaver somniferum (opium poppy), 1572 nucleotides long. RefSeq lists it as uncharacterized. Lineage: Eukaryota; Viridiplantae; Streptophyta; Magnoliopsida; Ranunculales; Papaveraceae. The record is from RefSeq and is a predicted model, not a curated record. The transcript is spliced from 4 exons.
UUCUAUCUUUAUCUCAGUUUCAUAAGUCUGUAGAAGAAUCAUUCAAAUGAAAACCUACGUCCUUCAUCACUGUCCUGCAUCUUUUCAAUGGAAAACUAAUAUCUAACCCCUAACCCUAGAUUUACUUCAAACAGAUUUGAUAUGGGUACGAGUAGAAAGUUAGGGUGGAAAAUACAGAAAUCGGGUUUUGCUGCAAGAAUCGAGAAUAAAUGGGUUUGCAUAGAUUGAAAUUGGUGGUUGGAUAUGUGGAUUUUGAAAGUUAUGGUUGGAUUUGAGAUUGAAAGUUAGGGUUUGAAAUUUGGAAGUUAGGAUUUGAGAUUUGUGGAUUUUGAAAGUUAGGGUUGGAUUUGAGAUUGAAAGUUGUGUGGAAAAGAUAGAAAUUGAAAGUUAGGGUUUGAGAUUGAAAGUUGCAUGGAAAAGAUAGAAAUUUAAGGGUUGGAUUUGGGAUUCUGAGAUUGAAUGUAUUCACAAUGAUUGAAUGGGUUUGCAGAGAACGAUGUUGGUGGUUUGAUUUGUGAAGUAAGUUUGCUUUAACUGGCUUGUGCAGAUGAAGUCAAGACGAUGAAGUGGUUCUGCCAUUUGAGAAUUGAAGUUGAUGCCGAGGAACUGAAGAUGGCAAUGUUGCUAGGUGUUGGUGCUGCUACAAAAUGGUGGUUGUGCAAUGAAUAGGCCUGAUUUAGGAGACAGGGAAUGAGAAUAUUCAGAAAAGGUAAAUUGCCAAGGAAUGAGAAUAUUGCAGGUGGUGGUGCUGUUAUUGAGUGUUGGAAAUGGUUGUCUUGUAAACAGUUAGGAAGUGGGUGCUGAUGUUAUUGCCAUUAUCACUGCUUGCCUUUCUCUCCCCAUCGAAAAGGUAAAUUGUUAUUUCAUUUAUCUGUUUCUGCAAUGAUUUUGAUUAUGUGUUUUUUGGAAUUGUGAGAUUUUGUGUUUCUUGACCUCAAUUUGGCUUUUUAUGUUGAAUUUUUUGUGUUUAUCUUGGUGCUUAGGGUAUUUAUGAAUUGGGGUUUAUCUGAUGGAUGCACUUCCCCCAUAAUUGUUAGCACAUGGGAUGUGAUAUGAAUGAUAAUGUAACAUUGUUGUUUAAUCAAAAAAAGUUGGUGUUCUUCUUUCGAAGAGGACUAUCAUUGUUUUUCAAGAUAAACUCAUUUCCUUUCUGAAGUUUUUGUUGUUUAUUUCUCAAGCUAGACUCAAAAAUCUUUUUCUGUGAGAAGCACAAAUAUGACUUCUAGUUCCAAUGUCCUGAUCUUGAAAUCUAAGUCAUCAAAUGCUGAAAGCAAGGAGAUGAAGAUCAAUAUGACACAAAGGAGAGUUGGUGUCCUGAUUCUGACAUGGAAGUUGACGACGAGAGCAGCCCUCUAUCAAAUAAGUCGCAGCCUGCAAGAAUGAAGAGAGAAGUCGUCGAACCUAACGUUAAAGAUAUGGUAUUUCGUGUCCUGAUCUCAAAUUUGAUUCACUUCAUGAGGAUCAGAAAGUUGCAGUAGAUCAAUUCAAAGGCGCGGAAACAAAAGCAGAAGAAAACUCAGGCUCUAAGGUAUGACAGAGGUCUUGAAGACCAUCAGUGUAGAAGAAUAAGAU